UAGGGAAUCUUCCGCAAUGGACGCAAGUCUGACGGAGCAACGCCGCGUGAGUGAAGAAGGAUUUCGGUUCUUAAAACUCUGUUUUUAGAGAAGAACAGCGCAUAGAGUAACUGUUAUGCGUGUGACGGUAUCUAACCAGAAAGCCACGGCUAACUACGUUCCAGCAGCCGCGGUAAUAUGUAGGUGGCAAGCGUUGUCCGGAUGUAUUGGGGUAAAAGCGAGCGCAGGCGGUCAAUUAAGUCUGAUGUGAAAGCCCCCGGCUCAACCGGGGAUGGUCAUUGGAAACUGGUUGACUUGAAUGCAGAAGAGGAGAGUGGAAUUCCAUGUGUAGCGGUGAAAUGCGUAGAUAUAUGGAGAAACACCAUGGGAGAAGGCGACUCUCUGGUCUGUAACUGACGCUGGGGCUCGAAAGCGUGGGUAGCAAACAGG
This 429-nucleotide ribosomal RNA is filed under the name Bacteroidota bacterium. RNAcentral's name for it is "Bacteroidetes bacterium partial 16S ribosomal RNA". It matches the Rfam family "Bacterial small subunit ribosomal RNA", at positions 355 to 776 of the family's 1533-position model. The record is from RNAcentral. Lineage: Bacteria; Pseudomonadati; Bacteroidota.